UAGGUAGGAGUUGGUGACCCAGUGGGAAUGAACAUAGCCCACUACGCAGCCUCAGGCCUAGGAGGAAUCAGAACAGCCGGAGACCUAGUCGCCAGAUGC
This is a regulatory RNA element of 99 nucleotides. It matches the Rfam family "Pyrrolysine insertion sequence mtbB". The record is from Rfam.